This is a long non-coding RNA of Rattus rattus (black rat), 443 nucleotides long. RefSeq lists it as uncharacterized. The record is from RefSeq and is a predicted model, not a curated record. NCBI's taxonomy places the organism in Eukaryota, Metazoa, Chordata, Mammalia, Rodentia, Muridae. The transcript is spliced from 3 exons.
CUCAGACACUAGAAUGCCGGAGUGGGUGGGCAGAAGGCCAAGGAAAGUGUCCUCACUGCCCUGGACUGGACAACCGACUGGGAGACUUUUAAAAUCGGCGAAGGGUGCCAGGAAACUGCCUUGCUCAUACAGAAUGGACCUCUUGUGAACCUGGUGCUCAUCAAAGGCUGCACAGCAGAAGAAGACCACAAGCCUCAAAUGACUCGGCAUAGGCUGAGCCCCAGCCUAUCCAUCGUGUCUUAUAGCCAUGUGUGCCGCCACUGGGACUUCUGCAAUGACCUGUCCUCCACCCACCCUCUCUGGCUCCCACCACCACCUGUCGAAGGCCUGGGGAAUGUGAGCUGCCCAUUCUGCCUUUCUAAAGAUGGCUGUCCUCAGAACGGACCCAAGCAGGUCUGCCCUGUAGGCAGUUCACACUGCUACAGUGGAGUCCUCAGUCUCAG